GACGAACGCUGGCGGCGUGCUUAACACAUGCAAGUGGAGCGACGAACCAGGCUUCGGCCUGGGGCAGAGCCGCGAACGGGUGAGUAACACGUGGGUAACCUGCCUCGAUGACCGGGACAACCCGGGGAAACCCGGGCUAAUACCGGAUGUGCUCUCCCCACAUCAGUGGGGAAUGGAAAGGAAGCUUCGGCCUCCGCAUCGAGAUGGGCCCGCGGCCCAUUAGCUUGUUGGUGAGGUAACGGCUCACCAAGGCCGCGAUGGGUAGCUGGUCUGAGAGGACGAUCAGCCACACUGGGACUGAGACACGGCCCAGACUCCUACGGGAGGCAGCAGUGGGGAAUCUUGCGCAAUGCGCGAAAGCGUGACGCAGCAACGCCGCGU
Molecule: ribosomal RNA, 381 nt
Filed under: uncultured bacterium
Lineage: Bacteria
Description: bacterial SSU rRNA
Rfam family: Bacterial small subunit ribosomal RNA
Source: RNAcentral